Molecule: ribosomal RNA, 442 nt
Filed under: uncultured bacterium
Lineage: Bacteria
Description: partial 16S ribosomal RNA
Rfam family: Bacterial small subunit ribosomal RNA
Source: RNAcentral
CCUACGGGAGGCAGCAGUGGGGGAUAUUGCACAAUGGGGGAAACCCUGAUGCAGCGACGCCGCGUGGGCGAAGAAGUAUUUCGGUAUGUAAAGCCCUAUCAGCAGGGAAGAAGAAAUGACGGUACCUGAGUAAGAAGCACCGGCUAAAUACGUGCCAGCAGCCGCGGUAAUACGUAUGGUGCGAGCGUUAUCCGGAUUUACUGGGUGUAAAGGGAGCGCAGGCGGCACGGCAAGCCUGAUGUGAAAGCCCGCGGCCCAACCGCGGGACUGCAUUGGGAACUACCGGGCUGGAGUGCCGGAGAGGUAGGCGGAAUUCCUAGUGUAGCGGUGAAAUGCGUAGAUAUUAGGAGGAACACCAGUGGCGAAGGCGGCUUACUGGACUGUAAAUGACGCUGAGGCUCGAAAGCGUGGGGAGCAAACAGGAUUAGAUACCCCGGUAGUC